Molecule: ribosomal RNA, 251 nt
Filed under: uncultured prokaryote
Description: partial 16S ribosomal RNA
Rfam family: Bacterial small subunit ribosomal RNA
Source: RNAcentral
ACGUAGGGUGCGAGCGUUAAUCGGAAUUACUGGGCGUAAAGCGUACGCAGGCGGCUGGGUAAGACAGGUGUGAAAUCCCCGGGCUUAACCUGGGAACUGCCUUUGUGACUGCAAGGCUGGAGUGCGGCAGAGGGGGAUGGAAUUCCGCGUGUAGCAGUGAAAUGCGUAGAUAUGCGGAGGAACACCGAUGGCGAAGGCAAUCCCCUGGGCCUGCACUGACGCUCAUGCACGAAAGCGUGGGGAGCAAACAG